Molecule: ribosomal RNA, 24 nt
Filed under: Asparagus officinalis (garden asparagus)
Lineage: Eukaryota; Viridiplantae; Streptophyta; Magnoliopsida; Asparagales; Asparagaceae
Description: partial 18S ribosomal RNA
Source: RNAcentral
AGCGGACGACCGUGAACUAGUAAA